RNAcentral lists this ribosomal RNA (404 nucleotides) under uncultured Novosphingobium sp. RNAcentral's name for it is "bacterial SSU rRNA". It matches the Rfam family "Bacterial small subunit ribosomal RNA", at positions 355 to 776 of the family's 1533-position model. The record is from RNAcentral. Lineage: Bacteria; Pseudomonadati; Pseudomonadota; Alphaproteobacteria; Sphingomonadales; Sphingomonadaceae.
UGGGGAAUAUUGGACAAUGGGCGCAAGCCUGAUCCAGCAAUGCCGCGUGAGUGAUGAAGGCCUUAGGGUUGUAAAGCUCUUUUACCAGGGAUGAUAAUGACAGUACCUGGAGAAUAAGCUCCGGCUAACUCCGUGCCAGCAGCCGCGGUAAUACGGAGGGAGCUAGCGUUGUUCGGAAUUACUGGGCGUAAAGCGCACGUAGGCGGCUAUUCAAGUCGGGGGUGAAAGCCCGGGGCUCAACCCCGGAACUGCCCUCGAAACUAGGUAGCUAGAAUCUUGGAGAGGUCAGUGGAAUUCCGAGUGUAGAGGUGAAAUUCGUAGAUAUUCGGAAGAACACCAGUGGCGAAGGCGACUGACUGGACAAGUAUUGACGCUGAGGUGCGAAAGCGUGGGGAGCAAACAGG